CCUACGGGAGGCAGCAGUGAGGAAUAUUGGUCAAUGGACGAGAGUCUGAACCAGCCAAGUAGCGUGAAGGAUGACUGCCCUAUGGGUUGUAAACUUCUUUUAUAAAGGAAUAAAACGAGGCACGUGUGCCUUUUUUCAUAUAUUUUAUGAAUAAGGAUCGGCUAACUCCGUGCCAGCAGCCGCGGUAAUACGGAGGAUCCGAGCGUUAUCCGGAUUUAUUGGGUUUAAAGGGAGCGUAGAUGGGUUGGUAAGUCAGUUGUGAAAGUUUGCGGCUCAACCGUAAAAUUGCAAUUGAUACUGGCAGUCUUGAGUACAGUUGAGGUAGGCGGAAUUCGUGGUGUAGCGGUGAAAUGCUUAGAUAUCACGAAGAACCCCGAUUGCGAAGGCAGGUUACUAAGGUGUAACUGACAUUGAGGCUCGAAAGUGUGGGUAUCAAACAGGAUUAGAUACCCGAGUAGUC
Molecule: ribosomal RNA, 460 nt
Filed under: uncultured bacterium
Lineage: Bacteria
Description: partial 16S ribosomal RNA
Rfam family: Bacterial small subunit ribosomal RNA
Source: RNAcentral